GAAGUCCAAGACAGAGUAUUUAAGGUGAUCUUGAUGUUAGAAGAAUAGCAACAGGGAAGAUAAAUUUGGAAAAAUGUUAAUGGAAAAAGAGAUUAAGACUUCAGAUGACAUCUCAAGUAUUUUCCAACAGAGGAUUGAUUGUCAUGGAGAAAACAGUCGGACUAAUUUCCAUACAAUGGAACAUGAAGAUGUGGCAGAGCCUUAGGAUCCCGAAGAUCUUCCUUGUUGGAUCUUGAAGAGCUUUCUUGUCUAGGAAAUCACAUAAAGCAUGUUCUGCAGUGCAGAAGAUGUUAUAGCAAAAGAUAUUCCAGUUCUUCUUUGCCUUUGUUGCUGCAGCAAAAAUGCUAAGUCAUGGCCUGAAACAGUGAUUGAGCACCUGGUGGGAAGGCAGGGCUAACCCAGAGGAGCUCAGGAGCAUGCGCCAGACCUCCUUUAGGGUUGGCAUGGGAGGCAAGGGUAUUUUGCUGGAGAUUCCUGUCUACUUGUGGUCUUCCACAGAUAGAAAGUUCAGAUGUUUUCUCCAAAGGACUUAGUUUGACAUUUCAGAGCCAACAGCUACUAUCCUGUCUUUGCAGUAUGGCAGUGGAAACUACUUCCUCAA
Long non-coding RNA from Lagopus muta (rock ptarmigan), 601 nucleotides. RefSeq lists it as uncharacterized. Lineage: Eukaryota; Metazoa; Chordata; Aves; Galliformes; Phasianidae. The record is from RefSeq and is a predicted model, not a curated record. The transcript has 4 exons.